This 495-nucleotide ribosomal RNA is filed under the name uncultured bacterium. Its description in RNAcentral is "partial 16S ribosomal RNA". It matches the Rfam family "Bacterial small subunit ribosomal RNA", at positions 28 to 507 of the family's 1533-position model. The record is from RNAcentral.
GACGAACGCUGGCGGCGUGCCUAAUACAUGCAAGUAGAACGCUGAAGGAGGAGCUUGCUUCUCUGGAUGAGUUGCGAACGGGUGAGUAACGCGUAGGUAACCUGCCUGGUAGCGGGGGAUAACUAUUGGAAACGAUAGCUAAUACCGCAUAAGAGUAGAUGUUGCAUGACAUUUGCUUAAAAGGUGCAAUUGCAUCACUACCAGAUGGACCUGCGUUGUAUUAGCUAGUUCGUGGGGUAACGGCUCACCAAGGCGACGAUACAUAGCCGACCUGAGAGGGUGAUCGGCCACACUGGGACUGAGACACGGCCCAGACUCCUACGGGAGGCAGCAGUAGGGAAUCUUCGGCAAGGGACGGAAGUCUGACCGAGCAACGCCGCGUGAGUGAAGAAGGUUUUCGGAUCGUAAAGCUCUGUUGUAAGAGAAGAACGAGUGUGAGAGUGGAAAGUUCACACUGUGACGGUAUCUUACCAGAAAGGGACGGCUAACUACGUG